This 501-nucleotide ribosomal RNA is filed under the name uncultured bacterium. RNAcentral describes it as "partial 16S ribosomal RNA". It matches the Rfam family "Bacterial small subunit ribosomal RNA", at positions 30 to 523 of the family's 1533-position model. The record is from RNAcentral.
AUUGAACGCUGGCGGCAUGCCUUACACAUGCAAGUCGAACGGCAGCGCGGGUGCUUGCACCUGGUGGCGAGUGGCGAACGGGUGAGUAAUACAUCGGAACGUACCUUAUUGUGGGGGAUAACGCAGCGAAAGCUGUGCUAAUACCGCAUACGCCCUGAGGGGGAAAGCGGGGGAUCGCAAGACCUCGCGCGAUUAGAGCGGCCGAUGCCUGAUUAGCUUGUUGGUGGGGUAAAAGCCCACCAAGGCGACGAUCAGUAGCUGGUCUGAGAGGACGAUCAGCCACACUGGGACUGAGACACGGCCCAGACUCCUACGGGAGGCAGCAGUGGGGAAUUUUGGACAAUGGGGGCAACCCUGAUCCAGCAAUGCCGCGUGAGUGAAGAAGGCCUUCGGGUUGUAAAGCUCUUUUGUCAGGGAAGAAACACCGGCUCUAACACAGUCCGGGAAUGACGGUACCUGAAGAAUAAGCACCGGCUAACUACGUGCCAGCCGCCGCAGUAA